UUUUCUGGGAGGAGGAAGGAAGAAGUAGGGUUAGGUUUAAAUCAUAGAUGUCCUUGUACGCGCGAUUCUCUCUUUAAUUUAAUCGGAUCUCUGAUAAGGAAAACAAUGGCUCGAAUCAUUUUGAUAUAAAGCCACGGAGGACUCCGCAUUUAGAUUCGUGUUAUGCGCAGUGAAAAAAUACAAGACUGGAAAGACAAUUCAAAGAUGGCGGAGACGUAGGAGACGAGUGACGUAUUUGCGACAGACAUCCAUCCGUUCGCUCGUUUUAAUUCUAUGACAACUCGAUUCUUGGAAAACUUGUGGAUCGAGGAUGCGCGAAGAUACCGAGGGACAUGGAAACGAGCAGAAGCGAGCACGUCGCGAGAGAGUGUGCGAGAGCUCUAACAUGAACGCGGAAACGCUUGCGUUCCAUUGAGAGGAGUCGGCACUCCAGAGGGGUAACGGUGGCUUCGAUGCUCCUCCAGUGACCUUCCGGCAGGGCGAUGAGUUGGCUACGGAGCAGUCCCCUGAGGACGAGCUUCAGCAAGCAACGCUCCAGGGAUUCACCUCCCAAGGAUGCGGAUCCCACUGCUUGCUACGACAGCUUCCGUAAACACUGGCAACAGACCUAUGACAUUAUUACGAAUACUCAGCCUCCGGUUGGAAUACCCAAUCAAGAUGACGUGUUAGGAGUUGUCAAUCAUAUAGACCAAAUGGUGACGUUGCUAUUGUUGGAGCUCAGGAACUCCAAUACCCAGAAUCGUUAUCGCCGGACCUCGACGCCUACUCAUUCUCCGUGCCUUGAGCAUCUGCUCAGUGAGAACCUGCUGGAUAAACUGUACGACUGGAGCGUACAUACUGGCAGAUUUGGCAAUGCGGUACGAUUGGAACAAUUGAAGCUGUACGAGCUGCUGGUUUCGCACAGUGGUGCACUUUUAGCUCAUGAACCGGUGACAAGGCCUCUGCUUCGAUUACUACAAGAAUGUGCAGACGACAUAAUGCCGGUGGAGGUGGAGAAGAAACUGGUCGUUCUGUUAAAUCAGUUGUGCGUGGCACUCAUGCAAAGCAUGGCUUUACUGGACCUGUUUUUCCACCCAACAGCGACUGGAAAGAACAAAUUCAUCAUUUUCAAUUUGUUACUACCACACAUUCAUAGAGAGGGAGGUGUCGGGCAACAAGCUCGAGAUGCCAUGUUGCUUUGUAUGUCCCUUUCAAAGAAGAAUGAUGAAGUGGGACAAUACAUUGCGGAUCAUUCAAACGUUUGCCCAGUAUUAGCCACAGGACUGAGUGGUCUGUAUUCGCUGCUACCUCGCAAGCUCGACAUCGAGACCGAAGACUGGCAUCGGUUGACACCUGACGAUGUGAACGAUAUGCCAGCCCUUACCCAAUUGAUGAACUCUCUGGAGUUCUGCAAUGCCGUCGCACAAGUUGCUCAUCCACUGGUGCAAAAGCAACUGCUUGAAUUCCUUUACCAUGGGUUUCUAGUACCUGUCAUGGGUCCGGCACUUCUGCAGGAUUCUCUCGGCUUGACCCUAAAUCAGCUAGAUGCACCACAGAACUGGACAGUUGUCGAGGAGCUGGUCGCUGCGACAGCCUACUUCGAUCUCUUCCUGAGAUCGGUCAACGAGCCUGGAUUAUUGCGGUCUUUGGUGAGGUUCAUGUUAGAAGACAACUACGACGAGUGCAGGAUACUCGAUAGCCUCAUCCAAAGGAUAUCCUCCAGAUCACGACUUUGCAUCGUCACCUUGGCACUGUUCGAAACCUUGGUCGACCUGAACUGCGAAGAUGUAAUGUUGGAACUCUGUUUUGCAGCCCUUAAUCCCUGCUCGCACGUAAUGCUGUCCCAAAGAAGACGACUGAAAGACGUGGAUUCUUUCGGUCGAGGAGCUGAGAAAUUCCUGUCCUUGACCCCGAACUGCUGCAUGCAAUACGCAGUGGCUAACAGUUCGACACCGCCAAACUCCUUGCCUCAGAUCCCUCCUUCCCGUAGGAAGAGUCCAAGUUCCACAGUGGAGGGUUUCAAAUCCUUGCCAGUGCCAAUCAGCUAUGGUACAAAGUUAUCGGAGAGCUUGUAUGGGAAUUACCAUGCGUAUCUCCUGGAUGCGAGACAAAAGAUAGCUGCUUGCCAGAUUGCCUGCUCGAGCUGGUCCUGUCGAUACGAUGGGGAGCCUCCGAAGGAGAGCAACACUAGCAGUGCCACCACUCUAGCCGGAGAGACCACCUUGGUGGAACAGUCGACGAGGAAAAUGGAGACAAACUCCACGUCGCAACCAGAAACAUUCAAGGACUCCAGAGAUACGUUUAAGGACCCUUCGAUGCAGAACGUCCUGGAUAAUAUUAAAUCCUUACUCGAGGAGGAGUCAUCCAACCCCAUGGAUGCACCGGAGCGAACAGAAUUAGAUAUUUUGAGUAGAAGUGGACUCUCUGCGGAGGAGCAAACCAAGUUGGAUGCUGACAUCGCUGAGCUCCUCAACGAAGACAUUGGCAUGGUGGAACCAGCCAGCGAAGCCCAUCUGGCUGAAAAGAAGGGGUCCGAUAGUGGCAUCGAUGAGACCAACACUGCGAUGAACUCCCUUCUCUCCAUCGGAGAGAGCAGUGGGUACGAAAGCUUCGCCUUCAAGGGUUCUUCGGAAUCUACACCGGACAAUGAACCCAGUGAGGACAGAAUAAGCGAACACGAAGAGGACCCUGGGAGAGAGCCCUGCGUAAGGCUCCACGGAGUGUCAGAAUCUGCUGUCGUUACUGCCAAUGAGGUCUCCACAGUGAACAAGCAGAGCAGAGAGAACUCGUACCACCAGGAUAUCUUCAAUGGGCAGCCUAAUGUGGGGAUCUUCCUAGAUGUCAUCCUGAGGAAAUUGGAGUGCAUGAUGAGCAACAACGUUUAUGUGAAUCUUCACUUGACGGGCCUGAUAAGCAGGCUCGCGAUAUAUCCUCAGCCACUGCUGCAGUCUUUCCUCCUGAACCACUCUCUCGUCUUUCAGCCUAGCAUCAGGUCCCUCUUCCAGGUACUUGCCUCCCUGAAGCACCGGAUAGACCAGUUCCUCGUCAAGCACGAGGAUGUGGAUCUCCUGGUGGAGCAGGCCAGGUCGUUCCUGAUCGGUCGCGAGGACAGACUCGUGAACGCCAGGAAAAACGUUCUGGAAGCCUCGGCACAAAUAGCGACGAACAGACGGAACUCCUUCGCCAGCGAGCCGUUCUCCAGAGGUGAACCAAAGAGGAGAAGUCUGACCUCGUCCUUCACGCAGAUGUUCCGAAGGACUGGUGCCAAUUCUGGUCCCAGUAGCCUCACCAAUUCUAUCAGUCAGCCGUCCAGCAUGAUAUCGGAGGACCAGUUGGAAGUCAUCGGAGAUGGCUCCGGAUACAGGUUUUACACGAAGACGUCCUGGGAGUCGCCGAACGAGAUCAGCCCGGUGCAGAACGUCGUCCUUUGUGCAGUGGUUCUCGACGAAUGGCUCAAAGAGCUCGCCGCGAUCACUCAGGAACACACGAUCACCUGUUUAACCAGCAGCUCCGAGUCGAAGGUUUAGGUCGCAAUCUAAGGUCUAGAGGAAGGUCGACGACGGGGAUAUGUGAUACACCAGUAAACGUAUAGGCAUUGUCGACAGGGUUCUUCUGCUUAUUUUUCUUUCUCUCUUUUCUUUUUCUAUUUAUCUGCCUCGAUCUCACGCAGGAAAGAGAAAUUAAUACCGAGCUCUCUCCUUAGAUCGCGACUACGUUAGGUCGAGGGCGAGUAGGGUCUCCUAGCUUUACUUUUUUUAGAGCACAAGUGGGAAUUCACGGAUCCAUUGUAGACGUGCACGCAUCGAUAGACGAAGUCGGCCGCGACGAGGACGUUCCGAGCACUUGCAAUCCUGAGCUGAAGAGAGUACCACUUAGGGGAACGAAGUGCCAAUUCAUUCGCUCCGGGAAUUGUUCCGAACGCGUUGCUCCUGUCUCGAGAUGUCCAGGUAGACGAGUGAACGCUGCUUGGGUGACGAUUACACGACCUUAAGAGUAGGUUGGAUGGUCGAAUCUUUGGUAUACGUCGAUCGAUGGAUGAUAAUAGAUUACCAGCGUGGUGACGUCGGAGGAAUGGACUGUUGACUCAUCAAGGAUGGGCCACUGUAAUGGAGGAAUCAAUGGAUUGAAUAAUUAUACUUGAAGA
RNAcentral lists this unclassified non-coding RNA (4123 nucleotides) under Orussus abietinus. RNAcentral describes it as "uPF0518 protein AAEL005291, transcript variant X5". The record is from RNAcentral. Lineage: Eukaryota; Metazoa; Arthropoda; Insecta; Hymenoptera; Orussidae.